Molecule: ribosomal RNA, 351 nt
Filed under: Brevibacillus thermoruber
Lineage: Bacteria; Bacillati; Bacillota; Bacilli; Caryophanales; Paenibacillaceae
Description: bacterial SSU rRNA
Rfam family: Bacterial small subunit ribosomal RNA
Source: RNAcentral
GAUACUGGCGGACGGGUGAGUAACACGUAGGCAACCUGCCCGUAAGCUCGGGAUAACAUGGGGAAACUCAUGCUAAUACCGGAUAGGGUCUUCUCUCGCAUGAGAGGAGACGGAAAGGUGGCGCAAGCUACCACUUACGGAUGGGCCUGCGGCGCAUUAGCUAGUUGGUGGGGUAACGCCUACCAAGGCGACGAUGCGUAGCCGACUUGAGAGGGUGACCGGCCACACUGGGACUGAGACACGGCCCAGACUCCUACGGGAGGCAGCAGUAGGGAAUUUUCCACAAUGGACGAAGGUCUGACGGAGCAACGCCGCGUGAGUGAUGAAGGUUUUUCGGAUCGUAAAGCUCUG